This 158-nucleotide ribosomal RNA is filed under the name Ceratocystis cf. paradoxa CBS 116770. RNAcentral describes it as "5.8S ribosomal RNA". It matches the Rfam family "5.8S ribosomal RNA". Rfam says of the family: 5.8S ribosomal RNA (5.8S rRNA) is a component of the large subunit of the eukaryotic ribosome. It is transcribed by RNA polymerase I as part of the 45S precursor that also contains 18S and 28S rRNA. Functionally, it is thought that 5.8S rRNA may be involved in ribosome translocation. The record is from RNAcentral. RNAcentral also lists the same sequence under 2 other names. Lineage: Eukaryota; Fungi; Ascomycota; Sordariomycetes; Microascales; Ceratocystidaceae.
AAACUUUCAACAACGGAUCUCUUGGCUCUAGCAUCGAUGAAGAACGCAGCGAAAUGCGAUACGUAAUGUGAAUUGCAGAACUCAGUGAAUCAUCGAAUCUUUGAACGCACAUUGCGCCUGGCAGCAUUCUGCCAGGCAUGCCUGUCCGAGCGUCAUUU